Molecule: small RNA, 28 nt
Filed under: Bombyx mori (domestic silkworm)
Lineage: Eukaryota; Metazoa; Arthropoda; Insecta; Lepidoptera; Bombycidae
Description: ovarian small RNA-37789
Source: RNAcentral
UUGCACCAACUUCCUCCAAUGUUGCCUG